ACAGCACUGGAAUGUGCGAGUUUGCUCACAUUUUUGACCGACUAAAUCGUAUUACCUCGGGAGUCAAAGAGACAUCUUACAGCGUGCAAGCCAUUUUAGAUGGAAGCAGCUUCAGUAAGAGCGAGACGCCCACCUGUUAUUGUAACAGCGGGUUCAAUACACGAGCAGAUCACCGGCAUUCAAACAGUGUUUUU
This 194-nucleotide non-coding RNA is filed under the name Streptococcaceae bacterium. RNAcentral's name for it is "6S RNA". It matches the Rfam family "6S / SsrS RNA". From Rfam's summary of the family: E. coli 6S RNA was the first non coding RNA to be sequenced, but its function was unknown until recently. It consists of 184 nucleotides that fold into an extended hairpin structure with a large single-stranded internal bulge. The 6S RNA specifically associates with RNA polymerase holoenzyme containing the sigma70 specificity factor. The record is from RNAcentral. Lineage: Bacteria; Bacillati; Bacillota; Bacilli; Lactobacillales; Streptococcaceae.